RNAcentral lists this transfer RNA (74 nucleotides) under Xibalbanus tulumensis. RNAcentral's name for it is "tRNA-Met". The record is from RNAcentral. Lineage: Eukaryota; Metazoa; Arthropoda; Remipedia; Nectiopoda; Speleonectidae.
GCAGGGGUAAGCUAAACGUCUAAUAAGCUUUUGGGCUCAUGACCCAAAUAUGGAACAAAUUCAACCCCCCUGUA